Molecule: small RNA, 297 nt
Filed under: Olea europaea subsp. europaea
Lineage: Eukaryota; Viridiplantae; Streptophyta; Magnoliopsida; Lamiales; Oleaceae
Source: RNAcentral
UAAAAGGAUUUAAUCCUUUACCUCUCAAUGAAAAAUUAGAGAAAAAAAUAAAAAUUCUCGUGAUUUCUAUCCACCGACUUUACAUUUUAGCCAUCCAGCGAUCCUGAUCUAUUUGAAACUAGCUUGAAUUCAUUUACCCAUAGAUCCUCCCUUUGGCAGCAUCCACUAAUUCGGAACUUAAUUUGAAAGCCAUAUUUCGACCCGGACGUUUUCGGGAUGCCGCUAAUAACCAACGAAUGGCAAGUGCUUAAUCGGACGAGAAUAAAGAUAGAGUCCCAUUCUACAUGUCAAUACCGG